GGAUGUGAGAGCAAUCUGGCUGCGACAUCUGUCACCCCAUUGAUCUCCAGGGUUGAUUCGGCUGAUCUGGCUGGCUAGGCAGGUGUCCCCUUCCUCCCUCACCACUUCACGUGCAUCCCUGCCAAAGCUGCAUGCUCAGUCGAAGAGGACGACCUUCCCUGAUAGAGGUGUAUCAUUCAUCGGUCAAGGGUAUAAGGUAGCUGCGCUCCCCUGCUAGAACCUCCAAACAAGCUCAAGGUCCAUGUGUAGGAAAACAUAGGGUAGUCAAGCUUUCAAGACUGCAGAAUUAA
RNAcentral lists this small nuclear RNA (290 nucleotides) under Phaethon lepturus (White-tailed tropicbird). RNAcentral's name for it is "7SK RNA". It matches the Rfam family "7SK RNA", at positions 1 to 293 of the family's 331-position model. From Rfam's summary of the family: 7SK was discovered as an abundant small nuclear RNA in the mid-70s but a possible function has only recently been suggested. Two independent studies have found that 7SK RNA binds the CDK9/cyclin T complex (known as elongation factor P-TEFb). The record is from Rfam by way of RNAcentral. Lineage: Eukaryota; Metazoa; Chordata; Aves; Phaethontiformes; Phaethontidae.